RNAcentral lists this ribosomal RNA (253 nucleotides) under uncultured bacterium. RNAcentral's name for it is "partial 16S ribosomal RNA". It matches the Rfam family "Bacterial small subunit ribosomal RNA", at positions 524 to 776 of the family's 1533-position model. The record is from RNAcentral.
UACGAAGGGGGCGAGCGUUGUUCGGAUUUACUGGGCGUAAAGGGCGCGCAGGCGGCGCAUUUUGUCAGGCGUGAAAGCCCCGGGCUUAACCUGGGAACUGCGUUUGAUACGGAUGGGCUAGAGUUCGGGAGAGGAGAGUGGAAUUCCCAGUGUAGAGGUGAAAUUCGUAGAUAUUGGGAAGAACACCGGUGGCGAAGGCGGCUCUCUGGACCGAGACUGACGCUGAGGCGUGAAAGCGUGGGGAGCAAACAGG